AAGACAACUCUCAACAACGGAUAUCUUGGCUCCCGUUCCGAUGAAGAACGCAGCGAAAUGCGAUACGUAGUGUGAAUUGCAGAAUUCCGUGAACCAUCGAAUCUUUGAACGCAUAUUGCGCUCGAGGCCUCGGCCGAGAGCAUGUCUGCCUCAGCGUC
This 158-nucleotide ribosomal RNA is filed under the name Neocystis brevis. Its description in RNAcentral is "5.8S ribosomal RNA". It matches the Rfam family "5.8S ribosomal RNA". From Rfam's summary of the family: 5.8S ribosomal RNA (5.8S rRNA) is a component of the large subunit of the eukaryotic ribosome. It is transcribed by RNA polymerase I as part of the 45S precursor that also contains 18S and 28S rRNA. Functionally, it is thought that 5.8S rRNA may be involved in ribosome translocation. Lineage: Eukaryota; Viridiplantae; Chlorophyta; Chlorophyceae; Sphaeropleales; Radiococcaceae. The record is from RNAcentral.